CGUUGAGCCUAAGAGAAGCAACUUGUUCCAGAAAAAAUACCUGUUGGUUACUGCGCUAGAACUUAUUCUGACAUUCAUCAACACCUUUUGGAAUAUGAACAAAAGAUAUCUAAAAAUCUUCAAAAUAGCAAUCCAGAAGGAACAUCUGAAGGAACGCCUGACGAGUCUGAACCCUUGGCGGAAAGAAGCCUGAGUAGGCUGAACACUUGGUGGAGGGAGCGCCUGAUGAGGCUGCACGCUUGGCGAAAGGAACACCCAACGAGGCUACACCCUUUGUAGAGGGAACAUCUGAGAUUAUCGCAUAUCCUAGAAAAGAAACAUCUACAAAAGCAAAUAC
RNAcentral lists this long non-coding RNA (337 nucleotides) under Gorilla gorilla gorilla (western lowland gorilla). Its description in RNAcentral is "lncRNA (ENSGGOG00000044436.1)". The record is from RNAcentral. Lineage: Eukaryota; Metazoa; Chordata; Mammalia; Primates; Hominidae.